UAGGGAAUCUUCGGCAAUGGACGGAAGUCUGACCGAGCAACGCCGCGUGAGUGAAGAAGGUUUUCGGAUCGUAAAGCUCUGUUGUAAGAUAAGAACGAGUGUGAGAGUGGAAAGUUCACACUGUGACGGUAUCUUACCAGAAAGGGACGGCUAACUACGUGCCAGCAGCCGCGGUAAUACGUAGGUCCCGAGCGUUGUCCGGAUUUAUUGGGCGUAAAGCGAGCGCAGGCGGUUAGAUAAGUCUGAAGUUAAAGGCUGUGGCUUAACCAUAGUACGCUUUGGAAACUGUUUAACUUGAAUGCAAGAGGGGAGAGUGGAAUUCCAUGUGUAGCGGUGAAAUGCGUAGAUAUAUGGAGGAACACCGGUGGCGAAAGCGGCUCUCUGGCUUGUAACUGACGCUGAGGCUCGAAAGCGUGGGGAGCAAACAGG
Molecule: ribosomal RNA, 429 nt
Filed under: Bacillota bacterium
Lineage: Bacteria; Bacillati; Bacillota
Description: Firmicutes bacterium partial 16S ribosomal RNA
Rfam family: Bacterial small subunit ribosomal RNA
Source: RNAcentral